UAUUUUAAGUGCAGAUCAACUUUUACUAGCACAACUUAUGAAUGAUACAUAGAACAGGCAUACCAUCUGAUACACUUACCAUACUGUGCAAUCCUGUGAAAAUUUGAAAAUCUAGCUGGUAUAUUUAGGUGCACUGGGUGGUUAACCUACCACCCUAGAUGUUUCUAUGAGACAGCUGUCACCUUUUUAUUUUGUUUCUUUCUUUCCCCAUUUAUUCUCGCAUGUUCUCUCUCUCACACUUCUCUUUUCUGCCAACUCCUCCUUUCCGUUAGUGGCCACUACUGCCUCCUCCUCACUCCUGAGUUGUUGCCACUUCCUCCUUUUCUCCACCACAUUGUUGCCGAACGGAUAUGCCCAAGGACCUGUAUCGGUUCCUGACCGAGAAUUAGAAACUUAUAUGCAUAUAUACUUAUAUAUGUGUAGGUAUAUAUACAUUUAUAUAUGUGUGUAUGUGCACUUGUGUGUAUAUAGAGGAUGAAUCAUAGUGUUGACUUCAAUGCUUAGAUUUGGUGUUCCGCCACAAAAAUUGUGACUACAUGAUGGAGUAAGAGUGAGGAUAUUGGAUCUGUAUUAAAUUCAUCUGGAAAUGACCAGGCAACUAGAAUUGGUGAAUUUUCAGUUGAGCUUGAUCAAACUCACCAAUCUGAGCAAGAAUUUACUACCUGGGUGAUUCCUGUCGAUUCUUUGGCAGUGACGAAAAGAAGAAGCAAAGAAGAUGGAGAGAGAGGAAGUGGUGUGGAGUAGUAGUACCUCUAUGCCACCAUAAUCUCAGAAGAGCUUCUGCCGCUUGAAGCCUUGAACUAAUGUUGUUGUGCUACAGGCAGAGAUAACAAGAGAGGGGUGGGGUAGGGAUGCAGUGUUUGAGAGGGAAGGAAUUCAGCUGCCAUCACACUAGUUGAUUCUCCUGCAUGUGCACAAGAUAGUACUUGGGUCUCCAAGGAAGAAUUGAUUCUGUGCCAAAUGGCUUUUACAAUCCAGAGAUGCAAUUGGGGGGAUAGAGAUAUAAAGAUAAAAAAAAUUAAAUGAGAAGCG
Molecule: long non-coding RNA, 1032 nt
Filed under: Musa acuminata (dwarf banana)
Lineage: Eukaryota; Viridiplantae; Streptophyta; Magnoliopsida; Zingiberales; Musaceae
Description: long non-coding RNA (MACU_LNC008923)
Source: RNAcentral